GCGGAGCGUGGAGCGAGUGGCGGCGGGAGCGGCGGGGACAGUCUGGACAAGAGCAUCACGCUGCCCCCCGACGAGAUCUUCCGAAACCUGGAGAACGCCAAGCGCUUCGCCAUUGAUAUAGGUAGACACGGACCCGGUACUCGAGAGGGUGGCCAGAGCAGUGGGCACGGGAGGCCAGCGGGGGCGGCGGGAAGGACGAAGGGCGGGGGUGCGGGCCAUGCGCACAGCCUCACGGGUCGCCGCACAGCCUCUUGGGACUGAUAGUGUGUGUGCAGCGUCUAGGUGCAGGAUCGAGCCGGCGGUCGGACUCCAGCUCCCGGUAGGCGCUGCGCGGUUGGAGCGGGGCACGUCGGGCCUCGUAGUCCGCGCAGUGCGGGUGGAUCGUGAGGGCUCGGUGGAGGGACGGGCGGGGCGGGUGGCCUCGAGGGUCUUGGUCUGCUCAG
Molecule: long non-coding RNA, 443 nt
Filed under: Rattus norvegicus (Norway rat)
Lineage: Eukaryota; Metazoa; Chordata; Mammalia; Rodentia; Muridae
Description: long non-coding RNA NONRATT022910
Source: RNAcentral